UACGGAGGGGACUAGCGUUGUUCGGAAUUACUGGGCGUAAAGCGCACGUAGGCGGAUUUGUAAGUCAGGGGUGAAAGCCCGGGGCUCAACCCCGGAACUGCCUUUGAAACUAGGUGACUAGAAUCUUGGAGAGGUCAGUGGAAUUCCGAGUGUAGAGGUGAAAUUCGUAGAUAUUCGGAAGAACACCAGUGGCGAAGGCGACUGACUGGACAAGUAUUGACGCUGAGGUGCGAAAGCGUGGGGAGCAAACAGG
RNAcentral lists this ribosomal RNA (253 nucleotides) under uncultured bacterium. RNAcentral describes it as "partial 16S ribosomal RNA". It matches the Rfam family "Bacterial small subunit ribosomal RNA", at positions 524 to 776 of the family's 1533-position model. The record is from RNAcentral.